This is a non-coding RNA of Camellia sinensis, 438 nucleotides long. The record is from RefSeq and is a predicted model, not a curated record. Lineage: Eukaryota; Viridiplantae; Streptophyta; Magnoliopsida; Ericales; Theaceae.
UAACCAACGUCACGGCCAACAUGUUGAAACUACAGAUACAGCAUGCUUUGCUCCAACCUCUGGCUGGGGCCGCAGUUCAUUUUUGUCGUUAACUGACCUCCAUGAUGCUUCUAAGGGAUUCCUUGUGAAGGAUACUUUAAUUGUUGAGGCCGAAGUCAGUGUCUUAUCCACAUUGAAGAAUUUCUCAGAGUAAAUAUAGAUUAGGCUUUUAUCUUAGUAAUAGAAGGAUGUUAGUGAGCUUGUCCUGUUAAUCUGCUUUUAUCAUCUUGUGGACCAACUUAUGAGCUAGAAUCUUGUAUACAAUCUCAGACUUCUUGUUAUGAUUGAAUUUUAUGUCUCUGAUAUUUGCCGUGGAAUAGUACUUAGCUUACGAAUCAAAAUUGGUAUUGAAAAAAAAGAAAAGAAAAAAAAAGAUGGUGAUAUUAUGUAGUUUAUAUA